RNAcentral lists this ribosomal RNA (494 nucleotides) under uncultured bacterium. RNAcentral describes it as "partial 16S ribosomal RNA". It matches the Rfam family "Bacterial small subunit ribosomal RNA", at positions 28 to 507 of the family's 1533-position model. The record is from RNAcentral.
GACGAACGCUGGCGGCGUGCUUAACACAUGCAAGUCGAACGGAAAGGCCUGCUUUCCCUUGUGGAUUGCGGGUACUCGAGUGGCGAACGGGUGAGUAACACGUGAGUGAUCUGCCCCCAACUUGGGUAUAAGCCUGGGAAACUGGGUCUAAUUCCCGAUAGGACUGCAGGGUGGUGCCUGUGGUGGAAAACGAUUUUCUAGUGGUUGGGGAUGAGCUCGCGGCCUAUCAGCUUGUUGGUGGGGUAAUGGCCUACCAAGGCGGCGACGGGUAGCCGGCCUGAGAGGGUGGACGGCCACAUUGGGACUGAGAGACGGCCCAGACUCCUACGGGAGGCAGCAGUGGAGAAUAUUGCACAAUGGGCGGAAGCCUGAUGCAGCGACGCCGCGUGGGGGAUGACGGCCUUCGGGUUGUAAACUCCUUUCGGCCGCGAGGAAGCCACCUGGUUGGAAGGGUGGUGACGGUAGUGGUAGAAGAAGCACCGGCUAACUACGUG